CUGCAAGCCUCCAGCGUGCAUGGAUCUGUGGUGAUCCUGUGCAUUCCUACAGUGCUUGCAAGAACAAUUCGAAACGGUUUGAGGCCUUGCCCUGCCGCAUCCAGAGCAAGGUUAUAGAAAUUUCGGACAGUU
Small nucleolar RNA from Rhinolophus ferrumequinum (greater horseshoe bat), 132 nucleotides. Ensembl annotates it as small nucleolar RNA, H/ACA box 9. Its record names the gene SNORA9. NCBI's taxonomy places the organism in Eukaryota, Metazoa, Chordata, Mammalia, Chiroptera, Rhinolophidae. The record is from Ensembl.